GUUACGACUUCACCCCAGUCAUGAAUCCCACCGUGGUAAGCGGCCUCCUUACGGUUAGCCUACCUACUUCUGGUGAAACCCACUCCCAUGGUGUGACGGGCGGUGUGUACAAGGCCCGGGAACGUAUUCACCGCGGCAUGCUGAUCCGCGAUUACUAGCGAUUCCGACUUCAUGCACUCGAGUUGCAGAGUGCAAUCCGGACUACGAUCGGUUUUGUGAGAUUGGCACCCCCUCGCGGGUUAGCGACCCUCUGUACCGACCAUUGUAUGACGUGUGAAGCCCUGGUCAUAAGGGCCAUGA
RNAcentral lists this ribosomal RNA (300 nucleotides) under uncultured bacterium. RNAcentral's name for it is "partial 16S ribosomal RNA". The record is from RNAcentral.